This 78-nucleotide small RNA is filed under the name Nocardia farcinica IFM 10152. RNAcentral's name for it is "6C.2008-01-16 RNA". Lineage: Bacteria; Bacillati; Actinomycetota; Actinomycetes; Mycobacteriales; Nocardiaceae. The record is from RNAcentral.
UUCACGUCGGCCCCUCCCCCCCGGGCCGACCUUACGCGGGCCUCGGCUAACUCCCCCCCUUCGCCGAGGCCCGCUCCA